Molecule: long non-coding RNA, 707 nt
Organism: Sphaerodactylus townsendi
Lineage: Eukaryota; Metazoa; Chordata; Lepidosauria; Squamata; Sphaerodactylidae
Exons: 2
Source: RefSeq, a predicted model, not a curated record
GCCGAGGAAAGGGGAACGGCCCUGAAAGAAGCCAGUUUGCUAAACGCUUAUCUCAAAAUCGAGCUCUUUCUCUCUCAGGCAGAGAAUUGCUGCCAAAGAUCUUCACACUGAGAUAACAUCGCCUCCUGCCAAUGAAGAGUUGGCGCCAAGCCAUCAUAGGAAAGCAAGCAGUCAAUGGCAUGAAGAGACGUCCGUCGGUUCCCAUGGCAAGGCCUGGGUUUGUAUGAAUGGAGCCAGACCACCAGCUGGAAUAAACACCAUCUUGGCACUGGCAUGGCAUGUCUGGUUAGCACCAGCAGCAGAAUCGUACUUUGUUUUGCAGAGUUCGUUUUUGUAAUUUAAAGAGGGAAACUGUCCAUGCGCUGCCAUGUUAUCACCCAAGCAAAAGUUAACAGGUAUUUUUUUGAGAGCCACUCGGUCCCCUUCCGCACAUGCAGAAUAAUGCACUUGCAAUCCACUUUGCAGCUGGAUUUUACUGUGCGGAAUAGCAACAUCCACUAGCAAACCAUUGUGAAAGUGGAUUAAAACUGCAUUAUUCUGCAUGUGCAGAAGGGACCUAUAAUAGAACAUGGAUGCCCAACGUGGUGCCCAUGUGAGUAUGGGUGCCCACGCACACCUUUCUUGCUGCCUGUUUUUAACAAGUGGGCGAAGACAUUCUUCUGCUUUUGUUAGUUCUGUUAACCUAUUAAAGACUGUUUGGUGGUUCA